GACGAACGCUGGCGGCGUGCCUAACACAUGCAAGUCGAACGGUGAAGCGCGUUCCUUUUUGGUGGGUGUGGAUGAGUGGCGAACGGGUGAGCAACAGGUGAGUAACCUGCCCCGUGCGUCUGGAUAACCGCAUGAAAGUGUGUCUAACACAGGAUAUUCUGUGUCUGUCGCUUGAUGGGUCUGGGACAGUUAUUGUUUCGGUGGGGGAUGGGCCCGCGGCCUAUCAGCUUGUUGGUGGGGUGAUGGCCUACCAAGGCGGUGACGGGUAGCCGGCCUGAGAGGGUGGCCGGUCAGGGAGGGAGUGAGGCCCGGCCCCGCCUCGGGAGGGAGACAGAAGUGAGGAUUAUUGAACGAUGGAAGGCGGACUGAUGCAGCGCCGCCGAGUGAAGGAUGGAGGCCGGCGGGUUGUGUCCUUCUUUCGCGAGGGAAGCAGGGCUGCCUCGUUUGUGGACAGGUUGACGGUAGCUGGAUAAAAAGCGACGGCUAACUACGUG
This 494-nucleotide ribosomal RNA is filed under the name uncultured bacterium. RNAcentral's name for it is "partial 16S ribosomal RNA". It matches the Rfam family "Bacterial small subunit ribosomal RNA", at positions 28 to 507 of the family's 1533-position model. The record is from RNAcentral.